Molecule: long non-coding RNA, 28179 nt
Filed under: Marmota monax (woodchuck)
Lineage: Eukaryota; Metazoa; Chordata; Mammalia; Rodentia; Sciuridae
Source: RNAcentral
GCCUCUGGAGUUGCUGGGAUUACAAGUGUGUACCACCACACAUGGCUCUGCCUGCUCAGCAAAUUCACCAGAGUGCCAGGAUCAAUCACUAUUUCUGAGGAUAUCCUGGUGAGGCAGUUUGGAAACCUUGGUAAGUUGUGAGUAGUUUCUUUGGUAGUAGAGAAGGGAAAGUGGUCAUGAUGUGGCACUUUCAGCCUUCUUUCAGCAGAUAGUUAUUAAGUACUUACUAAAUGCUAGAAACUGUUCUUGACAUUAACAAAGUCACAGAACUUUAAUUCUUGUGAGUUUGGACAAAAGGAUAAAUAACCAAUAAAUGUGAAAUGUGGACUGGGGAUAUAACUCAGUGGUCAAGCACUUGCCUAGCAUGUGUGAGGCCCUGGGUUUAAUCUGCAGCUCUGCCCCGACCAUCAAAAAAGAGUAAAAUAUUGAGAUUUUUAUAUUGGAUUUUUUCCCAUGGUGAAGUGAAAAAUUGCAUUUAAAAUGGUUGAGUUAAACUGUGCAACAUCGUGUGUUUUUCUCCCUUCUAUUCAUUUUCCCUUUUUAUACCUGCCACUGUUUCUUAAUGCAAUGGAGGCUGACCUAGCUGAAUGCAGAUAAUAAUAUUUAUUUAUUUAUUUAUUUUUGUAACUCUUUAUUAGGCUGAAUUGUGAAGGCAUAUCUUUGAAAAGUGUUUCAGAGUCCAGCAAAUGUUCCAUGUGAGUGACCACAUAGAAGAAGAGAAGGGGGUUCGCAGUGAUUAAGGUAAUAUAGUGAAAAAGGUAAGUAGGAGAUGACUCCUGUCAGGGAGGCUCUUAGAAAUGCCAUUUUCAAACCACUUAGAAAGCCUGAAACUUUCUCUAAAAUGUAUUCUCAAAAUAGUUUGGGGGGAUAUAUGUAUUUACUCAGUUUGUGAUCACCACUGCUGAGGAUCAGAAGAACUGAAAUGGUUCCUAAGUAACCAAGAUGGCAUAAACUCCAGAAUUUUGGUGUUGGGGCUCAAACCCAGGGCCUUGUGCAUGUUAAGCUCAUGUCCUAUCCCUGGGUUACACUCCCAGCCCGUGAGCUUCUGGUUUUGUAAGGUUUUAUUGGAAUGUAGUUAUCAUUCAUUAUUGUCUGUUUUUUUUUUUUUUUUUCUACAGCAGGAUCUUGUGAGAGAGACUCUAUGGUCUGUAGAGCCUGAGGUAUUAUCAUGUGACUCUUUAUAGGAAGUUUGCCAACUCCUGGUAUAGGUUAAAUGUAUUAUGUCCAAAAUCUUCCUUAUCCCACUUUCUUUAUAUGGGGUAUGUGUUUACAGCUGAUCCUAGGAUAUAUGGAAUCAAUUUGCUUUUUAAUUUCUUUUCAAACUCUCCAAGAAAGUACAUUCACAAAUUAUAAAUUUAAGAAAUAUAUAGAAGGAACUAUGUUUUAUAUGCUUCCUUGUAGUUAAUUUAUUUAUUAUAUAUGGUUCUUGCAUUACUUCUUUUUUUUAUAACCAUUUUAAAAUUAGGCCAUUCAUAAGUAUCCAGAAAGUUAUAACUUAUGAUCCCUACUUUAACCUUUUCCUGAUUUUAGUAUACUUCCCCACUGUGGCUUUUUUGCAUAUUUCUGCAGAUGUUUUGACUUUUCUGGGGAGAAAAGUCACCUUAGAACAUAAUUUUCUGUAGUUCUAUAUUGGGGAAAUAUGCAACUUAUAGCUUUUUGUGCAUUUAAUGCCAUUUAUUGAGCAUCUACUAGGAGCCUAUGCAUACUUUCAUAGAAUCUGCUCAAACCCAAAGAUUUGCAUGUUAAUCAGUUAUCUAGUUAUCUAUUUUUUUUUUCUUUCCAUACCAGAGAUUGAACUCAGGGACAUUCAAUUAUUGAGUCACAUCCCCACAUCCCCAUCUCUUUUUAUUUUUUGAAACAGGGCCUCACUAAAUUGCUAGGAUUGGCUUUGAACUUGUGAUCCUCCUUCUUCAGCUUCCUGAGCUGCUGGGAUUAAAGAUGUGUUGGCAAGUUAUCUCCAUUUCAAGGAUGAAUCUUUGAAAGCACAAGUGACUUUUCCUAAAUCAUAUUGCUAAUUAGUAGUACAAAUGGGACUUAAAAGAAUAUGUUACUCUUUGGUACUGGGAAUUGAAUUCAGUGCCUCACACAUGCCAGGCAAGCACUCUACUACUGAGCUACAUCUCCAGCCCUCCUUAUUUGUUUACUUAUUGGUUGGUUGGUCUUGGAUUUGAACCCAGGGUCUUGUGCAUGCUAAGCAUAUACUCUACCUCUACCCCUUAGCUGCACCCCAGCCCCCCUUUUCUUUUCUCUCUCUCUCUCUCUUUUUUUUGGUACCAAGGAUUGAAUCCAGGGACACUUAACCACUGAGCCACAUCCCACACCUCCCCCCCCUUUUUAAAUUAUUGCCCUUUUUUUAACACCUUUAUUUUUAUUUAUUUUUAUGUUGUAUUGAGGAUGGGACCCAGUGCCUCCACAUGCUAGGCAAGCGCUCUUCCACUGAGCUACAACCCCUGCCUCUGUUCUUUCUUUUUUUUUUUUUGGAGCUGGGGAUUGAACCCAGGGCCUCAUGCAUGCUAGGAAAGUGCUUUUUCACCAAGCUAUCUCCCUCCCUUCCCCCAGCCCUUUUUGAAGAGCUUUAUUUUAUUUAUGUAUUUUUAUGUGGUGCUGAAGAUCAAACCCAGUGUCUCACACAUGUUAGGCAAGCGCUUUACUACUAUCUCCCCAGCCCUUCUUCAGCCCUUGUUUAUAUUUUAUUCAGAGAUGGUCUUGCUGAGUUGCUUAAGGCCUCAAUAAGUUGCUGUUGCUGGUUUGAACUUGCAAAUCCUCUGCCUCAGCCUUCUGAGCUGCUGGAUUAUAGGAGUGUACCACUGGGCCCAGCCCUUUUUCUCUUCCUUUUCUUUUCUUUCUUUUUUUUUUUUUUGUGGUUUAUGUUGCUGGGGAUCAAACCCAGGGCUUUGCCACAUGCUAGGCAAGUAUUUAACCACUAAGCUAUAGCCCCUAGCCCUUCCAUUUUCUAUGUAAGUAUUAUCAAAGUUUUUUUUUUUUUAAAGAGAAAGAGAGAGAGAACUUUUUAAUGUUUAUUUAUUUUUUUGGUUUUCGGCGGACACAACAUCUUUGUUUGUAUGUGGUGCUGAGGAUCGAACCCGGGCCGCACGCAUGCCAGGCGAGCGCGCUACCACUUGAGCCACAUCCCCAGCCCCUUGGGAAAAUUCUUUAUGAGAGACUUCGUUGAAGUGAAAUAUUCACUGUAAUCAGGAGUCAGAAGCCAGUCACCUAACCCUACAUGUUCUCCUUCCCUUGCAUAUCAGGCUAUUCAUUCUGUUUUCCUUUUCAACAACUUAGGGUAAAUUGGUAAUACUGUUCUAUCUAAAACCCUUCUCAGCAUUUUCUCCUUUCUGUCUCUUUCUGUCUGAGGUCAGCCACAUAUCUACUCUCUAGAAACCUUAUUGUCUUUUUUUUUCUUUUGCUGGUAAUUGAACACAGGGUCUUGUGCAUGCCAGACAGGCACUCUACCAACUAAGCUAUAUCCCCAGCCCAUAGAAACCUUACUGUCUUAUUUUGGUCAAGUCCAAUGAUAGCUUUUUAUAGGUCCUUAUGCUCAAAGAGACUAGAUGAGGAGAUGAGGAGUUUUUUUACUUAAUAGCUAAUGAUUUUGGGGUGACUGGGAUUCAGGGAGGGUCUGGGAACCUUUAAGAAUUCUGUUAAUUUUCUCUUUUUUGAAAUGGGGUCUCUCCAUGCUGUCCUGGCUGGGCUCAAGUGAUUUUUUUUUUAAAGAGAGAGAGAGAGAAUUAAUUUUUUUAAUAUUUAUUUUUCAGUUUUUGGUUGACAUCUUUAUUUUAUUUUUAUGUGGUGCUGAGGAUCGAACCCAGCGUCCCAUGCAUGCCAGGUGAGCAUGUUACCGCGUGAGCCACAUCCCCAGCCCUCAAGUGAUUUUUCAUGUCUUAGCCCCUCUAAGGCUUCUGAGUAGCCGAGACUGAAGAUUGAAGGACUUCCUACCCCAACUUUUUAGAAUUUGAAUGUCAAAUGGGGCCUGAUAAAUCUUCCUAGAGAGAAGAAUUCCCAGCAUUGGUAUAUUUGGAUAACCAUGAUUCCUCUGUAGUAGUGAUAGAACACAUUGAUGUGACUAUUGUUUGUGUAGCAGAAUAUUAAAAUAUGGUAGGCAUAAUGGUACCCCACAGAAAAUGAGCCAUAAAAGGGCCUUUUAGAAUCAGGAUUUUUUUUCCCCCUGUGGCACUUGAGAUUGAACCCAGGGGCCCUAUGGCACCUAGGUCCGUCCCCAGCCCUUUUUACUGUUUUGAUACAGGAUCAUGCUAAAUUGGUCUUGAACUUACAGUCCUCCUAUCUCAGCCUCCCAUGUUGCUGGGGUUACAGAUAUGUGCCACCAUUCCUGGCUGUGGCUCAUUUGUUUUAGGUUACAUAAAUGGAGAAUUUUAAAGACUAUAAGAUCGUCUCUUUUUUGGGGGGGUCUGUAGGUAAUGGUACUGGGAAUUGAACCCAGAAGGGCUUUAAACUGAGCUGUAUCCCCAGGUGUUUUUAUUUUUAUUUGGCGACAGGUCUCACAGCCCAGGCUGUCCUUGAAUUUAAAACCCUUCAGUCUCAACCUCUCCAGUUGUUGGGAUUAUAGGCAUGUGCCACUGUACUAGCCUACAAGACCUUCUCGAUUGUACUACCCUUUAAUAGGUGGAGUAGUACUCAGCAUUGGGCUUUCAGACUCAAAAUGGUAUGUAAUCAAAAAGGCCUUGCAGUCUUUGUUUGUAUGUGGUGCUGAGGAUCGAACCCGGGCCGCACGCAUGCCAGGCGAGCGCAUUACCGCUUGAGCCACAUCCCCAGCCCAUAUUUUUUAAUUUUUAAUUUUUUUUUUUUUUUGCAGUAAUGGGGAUUGAGCCUAGGGGUACUUUAACACUGAGCUAUAUCCCUACCUUUUUUUAAAAAUUUUAUUUUUUUGUUGUUGUUAUUCAUGGACAGAAUGUCUUUAUUUAUUUUUAUGUGGUGCUAAAAAUAGCCCCACACAUGAUAGGCAAGCGCUCUUCCACUCAGCCCCAGCCCUAUAUCCCUACCUUUUUUAUUUCUUAUUUUGAGACAGGGUCUUGCAAAGUUGCCACAGCUGGCCUCGAACUUGAAAUCUUCCUCAGCUUCCUCAGCCUCCUGAGGUGUGCACCACUAGGCCCUGCUAAGUAAAAAUUUCCUUUGUGUAUUGGUGAUUGAAUCCAAGGGCCCUUUACCACUGAGCUAUAGCUCAGUCUUUUUUUUAUUUUGAGACAGGAUCUUGCUAAAUUGUUGAGAGUCUUACUAAAUUGCUGAGACUGAUCUCAAGCUUGUGAUCUUCCUGCCUCAGCCUCCAGAGUCACUGGAUUAUACCAUGCCUAGCUAAAAAUGUUUUUAAAGACAGGAGCUGGGGUUGUGGCUCAGUGGUAGAGUGCUCGCCUUGCACGUGUGAGACCCUGGCUUUGAUCCUCAACACUGUAUAAAGAUAAAUAAGUGAAAUAAAGGUAUUGUCCAACUACAACUAAAAAGUAAGUAUUAAAAAAAAAGGACAGGGCCAGAGAGAUUAUUAUCAUUAUAAGUGUUUUGUGAUCAUUUGUACUUUUGAUAUAUUACAAUACCUCGUGGUGAUCCUCAAAGAAAUAAAAAAAAGGAAAAUGCAAUAUAAUGGGGACCAUAUAGAGGUAUUCAUAGAUGCAUAUAGUUCUAAGUCUGUCCCAUAUAGUAAUGGCUUACAUUGAUACCUCUUUACCAAUGAUAAUGUUAUGCUAUUGUAAAUGUCCACAGGUUGAAUUUCUCUUAUCUGAAAUGUUUGGGACUAGAAUUAUUUAGAUUCAGAGUUUUUAAUAUUUUGGGUGUAUUUAUAUACUGGUUAUACGUAAUCUGAAAAUCUGAAAUCCAAAAUAAUCUGUCUUGCAUUUAGGAGAAUUUUGGAGAUUAUUUUGCAUCUUGGAUUUUUAGAUUAGGUAUGUUCAACCUGUUAUAGAUUCUCUCACAUCUACAUUUUUCUGUAGGACCUAAUUUUGGAAGUUAUUCAUAAGAAACCCCUUGUGAAGUCACAUAUACAUUUUGUUGUCAUUGUUUAUAGGCAUCAUUUGUUCUAAUCACUUGUUGUCCUUUCCCUUGUACCAUAUCAUAACAUAGUAUUCUUUUUUUUUAUUAUUUAUUUUUUUCAUAACAUAGUAUUCUAACUUGACUAACUUCACUAAGUUUAUUUGGAAUAGUCUUAAUUAAUUUGGCAAACAAUAAGAAUAUAAAUCUCCCGGCCAGGCGCGGUGGCUCAUGCUGAUAAUCCCAGCAACUCGGGAGGCUGAGGCAGCCUCAGCAAUGGCCAGGCACUAAGCAAUUCAGUGAGACCCUGCCUCUAAAUAAAUACAAAAAAGGGCUGGGGAUGUGGCUUAGUGGUCGAGUGCCCCUGAGUUCAAUCUCCGGUACCAAAAAAAAAGAAUAUAAAUCUCCCUCAUCCUGCUAGGUCUAAGUCUAAGCUUUCUGCUAGUUUUAGGUUUAGUCCAGCUGUCAUGUAAAGGAAUUCUCUGUGGCAGAUGUCGGCAAACAUUUUCUGUAAAGAGCAAGAUAAUAUCUAUUCAACUCUGCAGUUGUAGCAUGAAAGCAUCCGUGGACAAUAUGGACAUGAUUAUGUUCUGAUAAAACUUCAUUUACAAAAACAGGCAAUAGGUGAGAUUUGGACUACAGGCCAGUGUGCUGUUCCUUAUUACUUUACAGUAUAUGUACUCAGACUUUUAGAACAGAAUUAUACAAUAAAGCAAACAUUCAGAGCGAUUUUAGUCAUAUUCUAAUAAAAUAACAAUAAUACAUCUGUACUUGAACCAGCAGUGGAAAGUCUCUUAUGAUCUAUACCAUAAGUGCAUGGUAGAGUGACACAUAAUCUUCAUGGGCCAUGCUAUUACUAUCCCCAUAGAGGAAUCUCCUUCCUGUGGGUCUUUGCAUGGCUUAGAAGGGACAUUGUCUUUGUUACUUAUUCUUAUCCUUACAUUAUCAGCCCCAGUAUUUGCCUUUUUCACCAGUAUGUCUUCUACCUUACUGAUGCUAGUAGAGGAAUCUAAUGGGUUACAGUCACUGUCCCAACAGUCAAAGUAUAGGGGUCCUGUGGUUUUGGUAAUUUGCUAUGUCAAUCUCUAAAUUUGGCUUUCAGGAUUUGGAGGAAUUAAUCCUUCCAUUGCUAUCUCAAAAGGUGAUCUAGACAAUGGAACAGAGACCUCUCAAUCAGGUAAGUGAUUAUUGAACAUGAAGGCAACUAUUUUUCUUUGGCCUUUUUGUUGUAUUUGUUAAUAGGUUUCCUAAUAAUGAACUAACCUUGCAUUUCUGGAAGACAAUUUCUACUUUUCAAGGAUUUUUAAUUAUAUUUGUUAAAUUUAUUAUUUGAGUUUUGUUUUCUAUUUUUUUAAAUUAAUAUUAUCUUUCGAGGUUCAAAAGUGAGUUAGUUUGGGGUAGGAUGACAGUCUUUGUCUGUUAAUGUUAGGAUCAUGAGUGAAAUUUUUUGUUGCUCUCUAUUUAAGCAUAUCAGACAUCUUGCAUGCAGUUAAAUGUGCUUUAUUUACUUUUUGUGGUGCUGGGGAUUGAACCCAGGGCCUUGUGCAUGUGAGACAAGCACUCUACCAACUGAGCUAUAUCCCCAGCCCUUAAAUAUGCUUUAAUAACAUGAUUUUCAAAUUUGUACAUACUAUCAUAUAACACUAUGAAUGUAAAAAUCAAUUUUGUUUUCUGAUAUUUGGAACCUUGUUUCAGUUAUUACCUUUUUUGUUUUUGUUUGUUUGCUAUUCUGGGUCUCUCUAGGCAAGUACUUUACCACUCAGUCAUACACUACUCUCCCCAUAUUUUUUUUUUUCUUUUUUGGGUACUAGAGAUUGAACUCAGGCACUGCUUGGUUCUUCCCUGUUGCUAAGGCUGGCUUUGAACUUGUGAUCCUCCUGUCUCAGCCUCCCAAGCUGUUGGGAUUACAGGCAUGUGCCACUGAGCCCGGCCUGCAGUACCCCUUUAAUUGUGUGUAAAUAGUGCUGUAGUGAACAUCCUGUAGAUAAGGUCUUCACACAUGCUAGGCAACUGCAUAUUCAUGUUUAUAUUGUAACAUUGAAUAAAACGUACAGUUCCUCUAGUAGUAUGAGCAUUCCCAUUUUUACAUAUCCUUACCAAUAUACUGUAUUAAGGUUUUUAAUAAAUCUGCCAAUUGUACAGGUGAAAAAAUGUUCUCCUUUGAAAAUUCAAUAUAUGUCUUUUUAAAAAAAAUUUUUUUAGUUGUAGUUGGACACAAUACCUUAAUUUAACUUAUUUAGUUUUAUGUGGUGCUGAGGAUCAAACCCAGCGCCUCGCAUGUGCUAGGCGAGUGCUCUACUGCUGAGCCACAACUCCAGCCCUCAGUAUAUGCCUUUGAUUCCUAAUGAGGUAGAGGAGAUAAAAAUCUUACUUGGGUCCUAAUUUUUUAGUUUCUUUUUCAUACUUUUUUUAGAUGGUACUGGAAUUGAACACAAAGCCUCCAACUUGCUAGGAAGUGCUCUACUACUGAGCUACAUUCCUAACCCAUUUUUUCAAAUUUUUAUUUUGAGACAAGGUCUUGCUCAGUUGUCCAGGCUAGUCUUGAACUUGUUAUGUUCAUCUCUCAGCCUCCUAAGUAAAAAUUAUAAUUUCAUAUAGCUUAAAUAUCUUUUUUCCCCAUAUUUUAAAAGUGAUGCAUUGUACUUGUACACUGGGAUUUGAUGUUACAUAUUCAUACACUCACACAGUGUAACAAUAUAAUUUGGCCAAUAUAAUUUCCCAGUAUUUCCCCUUUGCCUCUCCUCCUCCCUUCCUCAUUCCCUCCAAAUGUCUUUUUUUUAAUAAUGCAUUCUCCCUUUUCUUUCCAUAUUAUGAAGAUGAAUAUAUUUCAUAAUUCACUUAUGUUUUACUUAUUUUUUAAUGAGUCUUUUCCAGUGUGGAUCUCUUUGGUGUAUGGCAUGUAAUUAAUUUUCUAAAUGUUCAGCACAUUUAGCAUUCAAAGAAUAAGAGGGGUAUCUCAGCAGGAGUUCCAGAAUCUUUUUUUUUUUUACACUGGUGUUGAACUCAGGGACACUUGACCACUGAGCCACAUCCCCAGUCCUAUUUUUUUGUAUUUUAUUUAGAGACAGGGUCUCACAGAGUUAUUUAGUGCCUUGCCCUUUGCUGAGGCUGGCUUUGAACUUGUGAUCCUUCUGUCUCAGCUUCCCAAGCCGCUGGGGUUAUAGGUGUGUGCCACCACGCCCGGUGAGUUUCAGAAUCUUUUUCCAAUAUUUGACUCCUAUCUCCCUCACCCCUACUUCACCCGCCAUACUAGAGAGUGAACCUAGGGAUAUUCUACCAUGAACCCCAUCCCCAGCCCUCUUUAUUUUUUGAGACAGGGUCUUGCUAAAUUGCUGAGGCUGACCUCAAACUUGAUCCUCCUUCUUCAGCCUCUAUCACUCCUGGCUCCAGAGCUCUGCUUUUUUUUUUUUUUUUUUAAAUAUUUGUUUUAGUUGGACACAGUACCUUUAUUUUAUUUAUGUAUUUAUUUAAAAAAAAUUUUUUUUUUAGUUGUUGUUGGACACAAUACCUUUAUUUUAUUCAUUUAUUUUUAUGUGGUGCUGAAGAUUAAACCCAGGGUCUUGCACGUGCGAGGCAAGCACUCUACUGCUCAGCCACAACCCUAGCCCCCUUUAUUUUAUUUUUAUGUGGUGCUGAGGAUAGAACCCAGGGCCUCACACGUGCUAGGUGAGCACUGUACCACUGAGCCACAAUCCCAGCCCCCAGAGCUCUGCUUUUAACAUGAAUAAAUAUUAUCUCUGUCCCUCUUUUUUUUUUUAAUAUUUAUUUUUUAGUUGUAGUUGGACACAAUACCUUUAUUUUAUUUUUUUUUAUGUGGUGCUGAGUAUCGAACCCAGGGCCUUGCAUGUACUAGGCAAGCGCUCUACCGCUGAGCCACAACCCCAGCCCCUCAGUCCCUCUUUUCUGUAAGUGUCUUGUCAGUUUUGCUACCACUGGUUUGUGUUCUUUAUGACAGGAAUUGGCAAACUUUUUCUAUCUAUGGCCUGAUACUGAGUAGUUUAGGCUCUGGGGGCUAUGUGGGUUCUUUCAGUGUCUCAGGGAAAGCAGCUAUAGACCAUGCAUAAAUGAAUGUGACUGUUUCAACAACAAUAGUUGUUGUUCCAACAACUAUUUACAAAAUAUAGCUGGUAGCUGCAUUUGGUCUGUGGGCUAUAAUUUGCCAAUGCCUGCUUUUUAUGUCAUUUUACUGUUUUAUUUUUGGUAGUACUGGGGAUGAAACCCAGGGUUUAAUGCAUGCUAGGCUAGGCAAGUCUACCAUUUACUGAGCUAUUUGCGACAUCCCCAGCAUUCCAUCUCCCUGCCCCUUUUUUUAUUAUACUGGGGGUUGAACUAAGGUCUUCACACAUGCUAGGCAACUGCUCUACCAAUGAGCUACGUUCCCAGCCCCCAGUCCCAGCUUUCAGCUCUUUUUAAUUUUUAUUUUGACUUAGGAUUUUGCUAAAUUGCCCAGGCUGGACUUGAACUUGUAAUCCUCUUUCCUUAGCCUCCCAAAUGGCUGGGGAUAUAGGUGUGUGCCACUACAAUGAAUCUCCCUAUAACCUUUUAGAUUACUAUUUUCACCUCCAGUCUUUGCUACUUAUUACCUGUUUCCAUAUUUCACAUUUCUGAAGUUUUGGAGAGCACAGGUGGUAACUAAACUGCAUGCUUUGCAUGUUAUUUGUAUCAUGUGCUGGGAUGUACAAGUUGUGCUUGCCUGCCUGCCUCCCUGCUUCAGUAUGACUAAUUUCACGUAGCUACAUUGUUUUUGAGGGUCUGUUUUUUGCAAUUCAGAUUUCAUUUCAAGAAAUAAGCUGAUUUAUAUCAAUUUUAAAAUGUCCAAAGAACUUCUUUUUGGUGUGGUAUCAUUUCUGUGAUUCAGUUUAGCUUGUUUUUGAUUCCAUGUGCUUGUGGUCUUGCUUUCUACUAUAGACUUGUUCCUCAUAAUCUGUCUUCCUUUACCCCCUAGCUUCUGGAGGCUUGUUUUUUUUCAAUUUGAAUCUCAAUUGAGCUUUUGUGAUCUCUGUAGACAUGGCCUUCAUUUUAGCUCAUCUUUGUCUUCAUAGACUAUCUGUUUUAACUCUAGGGUGUUCAGUUGUCAUUAAAGUGAGAAUGUCUGAUUCCUUUUGAGUUCUUAAGUUUCCUGAGAUUGUAGGGGUUGCAAUUUAACACAUCCAGGGCAUUUCCUCCUAUUGAUUGCUAAAUGUGACCAUCCUUUUUUCUUUAUAUAUAAUUCAAAAUUGCUUUAGCCUAACAUAAUCCAGUUACUAUGAAUAUUUCUAGUAUCAUUUAAUUGCUCUAAAACUAGAACUCAGCUCAGUCAUAGAGCAUCUAGAAGUAUCAUACCUGUCCACAAGUUCAUAGUCAGUUCCCCAACUAUAUUCCUCCUGAGGGACUCUUUUGCUUCUUCUUUUUUUUUUUUAAUAUUUAUUUUUUAGUUGUAGGUGGACAUAAUAAAUCUUUUUUUUUUUUUAAUAUUUAUUUUUUAGUUUUAGGUGGACACAAUAUCUUUACUUAUUGCUGAGAAUCGAACCCAGUGCCUUAUGCAUGCUAGGCAAGCAUGCUACCACUUGAGCCACAUCCCCAGCCCUGGACAUAAUAGCUUUAUUUCAUUGUUAUGUGGUGGUGAGGUUUGAACCCAGUGCCUCAAGUGUACUUGGCGAGUGCUCUAACACUGAGCCACAACCCCAGCCCCUCUUUUGCUUCUUAAUAUUGGUAUUAGUUGGGUACUUUUCCUUUUCCUCUUUAUUCUUUUCUUUUUUUUUUGGCGUUACUGGGAAUUGAAUCCAGGGGUGCUCUACCACUGAGCUAUAUUCAAUGUAGUUCAUAAAAUAAAACUCUUUAGGUUUUUUAUUUUGAGGCAGCAUCUUGCUAAGUUGCUAGGGCCUUACUAAGUCAGUGUGGCUGAGUUCAAACUUGUGAUGCUCCUGUCUUAGCCUCCUAAAUUGCUGGGGUUAUAGAUGUGUGCUACCAUGCUUGACUAGAUUAGGCACUUUUGAUUGCUAGAAGUAAAAUCGGUGAGCUCCCAUAAUGAUAGGCAGUCCACCUGUAGAGAGAUAAUGCUGACUGAGAUCACCUGCAGUUACAAAUGUAGGAGACAUUAAUAUGAUUAAGCCUCUUAGUGGUAAUAACUGGGUUUAGAGAAGCACCAGGAAACAGCUAUAUCUUUACAUUGGAGUUGUCUCAUUCAUAUCACUGAACUUGUCUGUCUCUCUGAUGAUCUUUUGUAUCUUAUAAUUUGUCCUUUUUGGUGUUGGCCUGUCUGUCCACUUUGGUUUUUCUCUACUACAUGUUUUUAGCUCAUACAUAGGUUUUGCUUCUUUUCUUUUUUUUUUUUUGGCAGCAGGACCAGGAAUUGAACCCAGGGGCACCCUAACCACCAAGCCUCAUUUCUAGCCCUUUUUAUUUUUUCAUUUUCAGACAGGAUCUCACUAAAUUGCUUAGGGCCUCGGUAAGCUGCUAAGGCUGGCUUUAAACUCGCAAUACUCCUGGCUCAGCCUCCCAAGCUGCUGGGAUUAUAGGCAUGCGCCACAGCACCUGGCUAGGUUUUGCUUUCUUAUGCCACCUUCCUUUGCUGCUUGUGGCCCUCAUGGCCUCACCUGUGUGUUGUGUGUUGGCUUCCUGCAUAUUCUUUCAGUUUUAGUUCCUUUUACUGUGAUAACUUUUUUUUUUUUUUUUAAAUAUUUAUUUAUUUAUUUAGUUAGUUCUCGACAGACACAACAUCUUUGUUGGUAUGUGGUGCUGAGGAUCGAACCCGGGCCACACGCAUUCCAGGCGAGCGCACUACCGCUUGAGCCACAUCCCCAGCCCCCUGUGAUAACUUUUGACAGCCAGAUUCUAGUUCCUGAGAACACAAUUUUACUAGAUCUGUCCUAUCCCAUUUUAGUUAGUAACAUACAACAGUGUUUUGUGUUCUUCAGUUAAGUCACUUGUCUCUGCUGCUUUUACUCUGCUUGUUUCUCAGCUUCUAACAUAGCCAUUAACAUCUAAUUUCUUCAUCCUUUGUUUCAGGGGUUGCAAUUGCAAAUGCCUGCAGGAACCACAUGGGGUAAAUGUGUGAGAUGGUUCUGGUAUUCAUUCUCCUUUUUCUUGAAGCACUAUCUUUUGUUAUUUUUUUUCUCUUUCAUUUUCUUUUUUAUUUACCUUUGAUAGAGAUGUUAGAAGACAGUUUAUUGUGAAAUAUAAACAAAUGUGAUGGUAAGGGCAACUUAUGCUUCUAAGAGGUUAGGGGAGUGUUUGGGAUUGUGGUUAUUAACUGGAACAUUCACCAUUCAUCUAAAGGGGGGGCACAACUUGUUGAUACUUGGGCCUAGGGAUGCCAGGAUAUUUGGCUCUGUAUAAGAAAUCUGGUUGGCUUCAAUUCUUUUUUUUUUUUUAAAUGCGUCAGUCCGAUGGAAUAUUUUUAUAAAUACUUUUAUAAUUUUAUGAAUAGUUUCUGCUUUUUCACAAUUUUGGCUUAUUGUAAUGUUACCAUUUCUCGUAUGUCAUGACACGCUAUCUGUUCAACUCAGUUUGGGGCUUGGGCUUAGCAGUUUGUUUUGGAAGUGUUUGGAAUUGGACCAGUUUAUUUGAAUUCAGCUGUAUAAAUUAGAAUGAAAUAGAUUGGGAAAGAAUAGAUUAAGAUAAGUUUCUAGGAACAAACUAACUUCCAACUUGCAAAGGGUAAGUAUUUUGUGAGAUUUUUGUCUCAGCCAUUUGUGUCAUCUUCAGUCCAGUGUACUUUUUUUUUUUUUUUUGGUGAGAGGGAUUGAACCUGAACCUGGGGCCCUCAACCACUGAGCCACAUCCCCAGACCUUAUUUAUUUAUUUUUAAUAUUUAUUUUUUAGUUCCAGGUGGACACAAUAUCUUUAUUUUACAUUUAUGUGGUGCUGAGGAUCAAACCCAGUGCCCCAUGCAUGCCAGGCAAGCACUCUAUCACUGAGCCACAACCCCAGCCCCAUAUUUUUAAUUUUAUUUUGAGACAGGGUCUUAAUAAGUUGCAUAGGGCUUCACUAAAUUCCUGAGGCUGGCCUGGAGCUUGUGAUCCUCCUGCCUCAACCCCCAGAGUACCUGGGAUUAUCCACGAGUGUCACUGCACCAGGCUUUAGUGUACUUACAUUUGCUUUCUUUUUUGCAGGUGUGGGUAUCAAGCCUAAGGCCUUGUGUAUGCUAGGCAAGUGCUUUACCAAUGAGCUACACCCCCAGCCUGUAACUAUCCAUAUAAAUAUAUAUUUUUGGUAUUUGGGAUUGAACCUGGGGUGCUUCACCACUGAGCUACACCCCCAGCCCUGUUUAUUUUUUAUUUUGAGACAGGGUUUCACUUUGUUGCUUAGACCUCUCACCCUCCCCAGUCUCUGGGAUUACAGGCAUGUACCACUGUGCCCUGCUGUUUGUGAUUAUAUUUCUUAAUUGUGGAUUAAACAACUUUAUCAGAUAUUGAUAGAUUGUGAGCAAACAAAGUUACCCUGGACUAGAUCCUUGCUAUAGACAGUCUCCUUUGAAUCCCCAAACAGCAGUUCUUUAAAAUUGGGAGAAUACAUAAAAAUUUUUAAUGUUUUACAUAAAAAUCUAUAUUUUAUUUUUAAUGUGUUUCUGAAAUAUCAGAGAUUGAGUUUGACUUUUCACUGAGGGCUGGCAGUGUACCUCAGUGGUACAGUAUGCCUGUGGCCCUGGGUUCAAUCCAGCACCAGGAAAAAAAAAAGUAAAGAAAGAAAAUGAAAAGCCUCAUCUUAUUAGGGGCUGAGGCCAAGUAGUGGGAGGUUUUAUAUUACCUGCCUAGCUACUGAAGGCAUUUUCAGUGUGUGAGCUUGUAUUUCACAGGAAUCUAAUUUUAGAAGUUGGUUGCCAUUCCUCUUGGGAACAGUAAGGAAUUUAAGGAAGUUUAAGAACGUCCUCAGUUCUUUACUCUGCCUGAAAAACUGUCUCUUAUUUGCAACGAGAUCUGUCAGUAACUAGCAUUUUUAGAUUCAGGUUUUCAACAAGCUUUAUAAUUUGGCACAGUAUUGAAAUCUUGUGUCAGCACCCCUAUUUGAACUUCGUUUCCCUAACAUGUCAUGAAUUACUGAGCUGAUCAUGUCACUUCUUGUUUUUAAGUUUUUGUUAUGUAUCAAAGUACUAAUUUUUUUAUUUUUUAGUUGUAAUUGGACAUAAUAUCUUUAUUUUAUUUAUUUUUAUGUGGUCCUGAGGAUCAAACCCAGUGCCUUGCACAUGCUAGGUGAGUGCUCUACUGCUGAGCCACAACCCCAGCCCCUACAAAUACAAAUAUAAAUUUGUAUUUGUAGCGAGUCUGUUAUAUUUCAGUUCUUUGUUUUGAGGUACUGUCUGCUACAUUGUAGGAUAUGUUACAUCCCUGGCUGCCUUCCUCCAAGCAUCAGUAGUGAUCUCAACUCAACCACUAUGACAAGUAAAAAGGUCCCUACAAAGUUUUCACAACACUGCCCAAGGGUUCUACUGUUCUGGGUAAGAAUCAUUGUUCUAGAUUGGUGCUAUUGACUCUGUUUCAGUUUAUCUUUAAUUAUUUUCUCUUUCAUGCAUAGUUUCAUCUUCUCGACAAUUUGAGCUUAUAUAUCCUUCAUAACUUUUUAUUUUGUGAAACCUUCAGCCUCAGCUUUUGUCCUUUUACCUGAUUGUUCUAUGACUCAAAUUCCUGGGAACUAGAAAACCUUUUUGGCUUAAAUCUUUUUUUUGGCUAGAGCUUUUUACUUAAGGUCAUAACAUAGACUGUCUCCAUUUUUGUCCUUUGAUUUGGUGCCCUAUAAAAGAACAUAUUUUCUAUGGAUGGUUUUGUAUUUGAUAGGAAAUUUGUACAAUUCUGUUUUCCUCAGAAUAGGUAGGUUGAGGGAAUGUGUGGCAGAUACCAUGACUGAUCUGACAGGUAUAUUUUAGUAUGUGGCUGCUAGGCAGAUAAAUAUUUUUAGCCUAAAAUACCUUACAGUUUUCAUGUAUAGAUUCCCUAGUGGAUUCAGUUUUGCUGCUCUAAAUAGUAAUAAUACAAAUUGCCAUCUAGCACUUGUGUCCCAAAAUGAUGGUAUGGGAUAGAUUCAAAAGUAUGUGACCCAGGUGGGCAUUGUGGCUCACACCUGUAAUCCCAGUGAUUCUGGAGGCUGAGGCCAAAGGAUUGCAAGUUCAAGGACAGCACCAGCAACUUAAUGAGACCCUAUCUCAAAAUAAAAAAGAAAAAGCUCUGGGGAANACUAAGAACAGAGCAGGGAGGAAGAGCAGGAGGAAAAGAUUAACAUUAAACAGAGACAUGAGGUGGGAGGGAAAGGGAGAGAAGAGGGAAAUUGCAUGGAAAUGGAAGGAGACCCUCAUUGUUAUACAAAAUUACAUAUAAGAGGUUGUGAGGGGAAUGGGAAAAAAAUAAGGAGAGAAAUGAAUUACAGUAGAUGGGGUAGAGAGAGAAGAUGGGAGGGGAGGGGAGGGGGGAUAGUAGAGGAUAGGAAAGGUAGCUCAAUGAUAAAGCACCCCUGGGUUCAAUCUCCAUUACAAAAAAAAAAAAUCCCACAAUGAACAUGACCCAAAUUGAUAGAACAAAGUAGAAUGUUGGUUGCCAGGGACUGGGGUAAGGAGGAAAUAGAGAAUUGUUUACUGGGAAUAGAGUCAGUUUUGUAGGAGGAAAAAAUUUCUGGAGAUUCUUGCACAACAAUGUGAAUAUAGUACUGAACUAUAAUACCUAAAAUGUUUAAGGUGACAAAAAAUAUAGGUAGAAUAUUACACUAUAUAGACAGCUAUCAGAAUAUAUUAAAUAUACACAACUAUCAGAAUAUAUUAAAAAUGUAGCAAGUCACAGCAUAGGCUUGUUCCAUGUUUGUCUUGAUUUGGCACCCCACAAAAGAAAACUGUUUCUCUGGCUUUGAAAUUGAACUUUGUUCAAUUCUGUUUUUCUUCAAAAAACAUCUUCAAACAAAAAGGAGAUAGGNAAUGGGACUUACUUAAACUAAAAAGUUUUUUCUCAGCAAGAGAAACAAUAAGAGAGGUAAAUAGGGAGCCUACAUCAUGGGAACAAAUUUUUACUCCUCACACUUUAGAUAGAGCCCUAAUAUCCAGAGUAUACAAAGAACUCAAAAAAAUUAGACAAUAAGAUAACAAAUAACCCAAUUAACAAAUGGGCCAAGGACCUGAACAGACAACAAAUUUCAAAUGAGCCUGUUGGCACAGCUGCCAGGUCCCUGACAAAAUUAGCUUUAGUGGUUUUAAAUGCCUAAUUACCACUUUGUCUUAGACUACUAGGGGCUAUUGUCAUGUGCCAGUGUGGGGGAUUCUCAUUUCCUUACUUCCUACUGUGGCACUUCAACCAGUUGCAGAAAACACAUAUUCUUGGUAAGCUUCAGUUGUGGCUGAAAUUCUGUUAGCAGUUUCUGGUAUAAUGGUCACCUGAAUUGUCAAGAAAUAAGAAUACUCUAAAGCCAGCCAAACAAUUUUGAAAUCCCAGAACUAGGCAUGGCCAGCCCUGAGGUGAACAAGGAUCUCUUCAAAUAGGAAAACUGUCUAUUGAAAUCAAGAUAAAAUUUAAGGAAAUGAAAUUCAGUUUCCUUUCUGAGUUUGAAAGUGUUUCCAAGACAGAACUGGGUAUGGCAGUAGCAAGAGUUUUUAUCAUUCAUAUAAUACACCCUUAGCAUUUAUCUAUAUAUCUAUGUAUCUAUUUAUUUUUGUGGUACUGGGGAUUGGAUCCAGGGUAUACUGAACUACAUCUCCAGCCCUUUUUAUUUUUAUUUUGAGACAGGGUCUUGGUAAAUUGCUGUGGCUGGCCUCAAGCUUGUGACCCCUGUGCUUCAGCCUAAUGAGUAGCUAGCAUUACAGGCAUGUGCCAGACACUCCUAAGGAGCUAUUCUUUUUUUUCUUUUAAUUUAUUUUUUAGCUGGACACAAUAUCUUUAUUUAUUUAUUUUUAUGUGGUGCUGAGAAUCGAACCCAGGGCCUCACAUGUGCUAGGCGAGUGCUCUACCGCUGAGCCACAACUCCAGCCCAGAGCUAUUCUUUAACAAAGAAGUCCAAGGGAAUAUUAAAUUUUUGUUAUAUGGUAUUAUAUCAGUUUAAUUAGAAUACAGAGAGUUGCAGUCCUUUCCAUUUGAUAAGAUUUAGAAAAACAGAUUGUGGUACUGGGAAUAAUUUGCUUCAGGUACUUUUCCCCCUAUACUCACAAUUUAAGUAAUUGUUAUAAACUUUUUGAGUGCAUUUUCGUAAUAAAGUUUAAAAUGUUGAAAUAUGGGUUUGGAGAUAUAGCUCAGUGGUAAGAGUAAUUAAUUGCCUAAGAAAUAUAAGGCCUUGGGUUUCAUCUCUAGCAACUCCUUACCCCCUUCUCUAAAAGCAAAGUAUGUACAUCAUGUUGGUUAUUCUAGAGAGGUUUACAUAAGUAAUAUAAUUUCCAUUGGGGUGCUUUAAUUAAAAGUAAAAAUAUUUUUGGCUUAAAAUGUACUAUUUCAGGGCUGGGGCUAUAGCUCAGUGGCAGAGCGCUUGCCUCACAUGUGGGAAACACUGCGAGAUCCUCAGCACCACAUAAAAAUAAAGGUUAUUGUGUCCACCUACAACUAAAACAAAUAUUUUUUUAAAAAUAUACUAUUUCAGCUGGAUACAGUGGCCCAUCCUUAUAAUCUCAACUCAAUUUUUGUUGUAUGGUAUCAUAUCAUACCAUAUGGAGGAGGAGGCAGGAGGAUUGGAAGAUUGAGGGCAGACUCAGCAAUUUACAGAGUGCUUGUAAAUAUUAAAAACAAAGUGCCUGAGGAAUGCAGCUCAGUGGGAGAUCACUCCUGGUUCAGUCCUCCAAUACCACAGAAAAUAAAUAAACAAAUAAACAACAACAAAAUAGCUGGGGGGUUAGAAAUUGAGACUAGUUCUUAUGUUCAAGAUAGAGAAGUUUCUCAUAGGCGUCAAGAGGGCAGGCAGGCUUAUUAAAAUGGAAAGCCCUUUGAAAACAUUUAAAUGUCUGUGUAAAGAUUGCUGAAAAUAGGGGACUCAGUAUAUAGCUCCGUUGGCAGAGUGCUUGCCUUGUAUCCACAAGGCCCUGGGUUCGAUCCUGGGUUUGAUCUUCAGCACCACACACACACAAAAACAAACAAACAAACAAACAAACAAACAAAAAAAUGAAUACUGAAAAUAAUUGGAUAUUAAAUAUAUCAAUUCCUUUGCUAAUACUAAAGAAGUAUUCCUGAAAUUAAAAAAUUGAUUGAUGAAUGUCAUAACAAAAUUCAGUUGAGUUUAACAUUUAAAUAAAUGUUUGACUUGGUAUGUAGUUUGAGAAAGGAAUUCGUAACUCUAAGACCAAAUCAAUAUAUUUGUUUUAUAUUUUUCCUUAUUCUUCUAAAGUGGCUUUCUCUCUCUCCCUUUUUUUUUUUUUUUUCGGGGGUGGGGGAUAGGCCGGGGAUGUUGAGGAUUGAACCCAGGGCUUUGGGCAUGUCGAGCACUUGUUCUACUGUUGAGGUAUACAUGUACAUCAUAAUGUGGGUUAUUCUAGCGCCCCCCCCACCCAUAUCUUUUAAUUCUUAAUGUUAUUUAUUUAUUUAUUUUAGUGAUACUGGAGAUUAAACCCAGUGCUUCCUGCAUGCUAGGCAAGUGUUGCACCGCUGAUCACUGCCCCAGACACCUUUUUAAAAAUUUUAUUCUGGGGCUGGGGAUGUGGCUCAAGCGGUAGCGCGCUCGCCUGGCAUGCGUGCUGCCCGGGUUCGAUCCUCAGCACCACAUACAAACAAAGAUGUUGUGUCCGCCGAAAACUAAAAAAUAAAUAUUUAAGAAAAAAAAAAUUUUAUUCUGAGGAAAAGUUUUGUUCAGUUGCUAAGGCUUGCCUGGAACUUCUGUUCAUCUUAUUCAGCCUCCCAAAUAACUGGUAUUAUGGGCCACUAGCUGGGAUUAUUAAAACUCCCAGUUUUAAUCUGAUUUUUUUUAAAUAAUGAAAGUAUUUACUUUUUCUUUAUCCCAAUUGGUUAAAUAUGUGUUCAAUUUGUGAGUGAACCCAUCCUUUGCUUUUGGAUUAUUUUUCCGUUUUCAGAAAUAGAAGCCAUAAGAUUAAAAAAAUGCGGCUAAAAAGAACAAACAUACUUCCUGUAAAAAGUCUCUAGAAAUGAAGUCAAAAGAUAAGAAAUUGGGAAAAAAUAUUUAUAACACUACCAAGUAAAUGUUAAUCCUCAUUAAUAUAUAAAAAUCUUCUAAAACAUUAAGUCAGGAAACUCUAGUUAAAAAUGAGUCAUGGGGACUUGGGUUGUGGCUCAAGGGGUAGAGUGCUUACCUAGCAUGCCUGAGGCACUGGGUUCGAUCCUUAGCACCUCAUAAAAAUAAGAUAAAGAUAUUGUGUCCACCUAAAACUAAAAAGUAAAUAUAAGGGGAAAAAUGAGUGAAGGCAUGAAUAGGUAGUUCACAGGAAAACAAAUGGCACUUAAAUGUGAAAGAAUAUUCAAGUUUAUUUUAAGAGAAGAGUAAAACAAAAGCACAGAAAGUUAAUAUUUGAGAACUUUGUGUGGAGGCUGGAAAGAUUGUAGAAUGUUACAGUGCAAAAAUAUGAACAGCAUUUUUGACAUUUAUCAGAAUUAAAGUUUUCUAUUUUUUUUGAUCUAGUGAUCUCAGAAUGAUCCUAUAUAUCUGCAAAUUUGAUACAAAAAUUGCAUAUGUAAUCUUGGAUUUCUUUGUGUGUGUGUGUGUGUGUGGGGGGGUACUGGUGGUUGAACCUAGAGAGGCAUUCUACCAUUGAGCUUCCUCCCCGGGUCUUUUGAUUUUUAUUUUGAGAGUGUCACUGGGUUGCUCAGAGUGGCCUCAAAUUUGCUAUCCUUCUUCCUCGGCGUCAGUAGCUGGUAUUAUAGGCAUGCAUCACCAUGUCUCAUUGGAUAACAUUUAUCAAAUGUAGUAAAAUAAUGAAAGAUAAGGAACAACCCAAGAGACUGGAUAAACUGAUGCAUUCACACAAUGGAAUACUAGAAUGCUGUAAUAUUCAGUGAGGAAACAGUCUAUGAAAUAAUAGGAAAUUUAAAGAACAUUAAUUGAAAAACGUAAGGUGUGUAAAAGGUACUACAUAAAGCUUCCUUUCUGGUGGAAAAUGGAUGAACUAUAUGUGUUCAGGGAUUUUUAAAAAAAUUGAUACUGCAAUGUGAAAAUAGUCAUCUUUAAGUGCUGGGAUAAUGGGGCAGGUAUAUCCAGGGUAAGAAUAAGAAUUGUUUUUUGGUACAUUGGAUUGAACCCAGGGGUACUCGGCCACUGAGUUAUAUCCCCGUCCCUAUUUUUUAUUUUAUUUAGAAACAGGGUCUCAAUGAGUUGCUUAGCACCUUGCCAUUGUUGAGGCUGCCUUUGAGCUGGUGAUCUUACUGCCUCAGCCUCCCAAGCAACUGGGAUGACAGGUGUCUGCCCCCUCGCCUGUCAUAAGAAUUUUCUAUGUACAGUUGGAGUUCUUUUGGUAGAAGACUUGAUAUACCAGUAUUUGUAAGGUUCAGGUGAUUUGUUUCUUUUUUUUUUUUUGCGAUAAGUAUGCAUAACAUAAAAAAAUUGCCAUUUUUACAUUUUUGUAGUAUAAUUCAUUGGCAUUUUUCUUUCUUUCCUUUUGUUUCCUUUUUUCUUUCUUUUUUUUUUUAGGUCUGAGGAUGGAACUCACAGCCUCACCCAUGUUAGGCAAAUGCUGUAUUGCGAAGCCACAUCCCCAGCUCUUUUUAUUUUUUAUUUUUGAAAUGUGUGAACAUAUUACUUACUUUAAAAUAAUUUUCUAAGAAAAAUGACAUAAUGCUUUUUAUUUAUUUUUUCCAGUGCUGGGGGUUGAACCCAGGGCCUUGCCUGGUGGUCGACCAAUAAGCUUCAUCCUCAGCCCAAUACCUUUAAUGUUUGCUAUAGUAUUUCAUAUGUAUACUACUAUAUGUUUCUAAGGUGUAUUAUGUAUAAACAAUUAUACAUAAUAACAUACUUUUUAGUAGAUUGGAUGAAUCUCUUAAAAUCAGUGAACUUCUACCAUAGUCAUAGAGGUCAAAGUGUCAUAUAUUUUAGAAUUUGUAGUGAUUCGUUUGCUCUGCAUUAAUACUUGGGGGGGCGGGCUGUGUUAGGUUGGAAAAAUUUAAGUUGGUCUGCUGUUUUGCAUUGCAAUGCUUUUUUUGCACUCUGAUUUACUGUCAGCUUGGUAGAGAUUUGGUUGUGGCUGCCACUAUGUAAAUUCAAAGAGGAUGUCAACAAAGGAUUUUUGUCCUUUGGAAUGCUGUGACUCCAGCUCCUCUAACUGCCUGAUACAUAGUAGAUUCAUAGUAAAUGUUGAAUAAGCAUAAAUAAUGGAUCUCUUACCAUGUACAUAAUACCCUGCAUAUCAUCCCAUAAAUGUAAAUAGCAUGUUAUAUAUGUCUCAUAUGUUCAUUUUUAGGUACUUGUACUAGUAACUAUGUAUGAUAAAUUUUUCAGUAAAUGGUAUGCAUAUUCAAAAAUUGGAUUUGAUUACCCUUUGAAAAUGUACCAAUUUUACUGUCCCUCACAGAUUACAUAUAUUUUUCAAAUCUAUACUACAUGCAAAUGGUAAAUAGUAUAAAAUUCAAUUUUUAUAAAGUUGAUCUAGGUGUAAAUUUUCUUCCCAAUCCUGAUUUCUUAGUCCUCAACAUUUUUUCCUUUUCCUCAGAUUAUAUGUACUAUUAAUUUCAUGUUUCACCUUUCACAGAUAGUUUCUGCAAAUACGACAAUAGUGUUAUUAUUAAGUCUACAUAUUAUAGAAACAGUAACUUGAUAGGAACUGAAAAGUAACACUUAAGUCCCAUUUUUGAUAGUGAUAUGUAAGGAAAAAUGCAGGAGUAAAUAUAUGAGUAAUAAUAUACAAUAAACAAGUCAUUCAUACCAACCAUGCAGGGAUGGUUUAAUUUUAGGAAAUCUGUUAGGUCAGAGGAAAAUAAAAUUAUAUGUGUAGUUCUAUAAUUGGAAUUUCUUCUUAAUACUUUUAUUAUAUAAUUCAUUUUUAAGUCAUUGAUCAUUUGGAUCUUAUUUUGAUCGCAGCAGCUGUAUGAACUUAAAUUGUCAAGUGAUUGGACCAAUGUAUCAAUUACUGUUCAUCUUUAUAGCUUUUGACUUCCUUACUUUAAGAGUUUACUAAAGUCAUCUUCAUCUUGAAUGUUUUCACUAUUGUGUUUUGUGUUAAUUCUAUCUGGCCCUUUUAUCUUUCCCUUCUACUACUUUAUGUCUAGCAACUGUCCUAUAAGGUUGUCACAUAUAUGGAUCUUUCUAGUAGAAUUUACCUAUAAAAAUUAAUAUGUAGUGAAAAAAAUAAAUAUGUAGCAGGAUUAUUUUAACUAUAAUGUUUAUAACAGUAUAACAGUAGCAGAGCUACAUUAAAAACUGCAUUUGGUAAUAUUUCAUGAUCUGUGCUUUCUUGCAUGCCAAUUGCUGCAAUUUUUUUUUUUUUUUUUUUUGGUACUGAAGAUUGAAUUCAGGGGCACUCCACCACUGAGCCACAUCCUCAGCCCUAUUUUGUAUUGUAUUCAGAGACAGGGUCUCACUGAGUUGCUAAGCCCCUCUCCUUUUUGCUGAGGCUGGCUUUGAACUUGAAAUCCUCCUUUCUCAGCCUCACGAGCCACUAGGAUUACAGGUGUGCGCCACCAUGCCUGGUUGCAAAUUGCUUUUGUUCUUGGUUGAGUGAUAAAUAAUUUUUAUGGGUUAUGUCAUGACCAUUAUAUUCAUAAUGUUCUGCUUUGACAUGGGUCUUUCCGUGGCUUAAAUAAGACCUCUUUUUCAUACAUAAGUCUUUCAGUUUUAUAUUUUAAGUAGCAUCAGUUUUAGCAUUUAUCGUGACUGGACUGAAUGUCAUAAUAUUUGGCUCUUAGUUUGAAAUGAAAAUGUGUAGAUACAUUAUUUAUGUAAUAUAAUUUAUCUAACAGUUUACUUAUUAACACGUCUUUAGGUUGUCCCUUUCACAAAUAAUGGUGCAAUGAAAACUUGAUCCGUGUGUCCUUGUGUGAGUAUUUCUAAUAAGAUUUCUAUCUAACUAGAAUAAGAUAUAUUCCAUGCUUGUAUAAUUAUAUCCAAAUGUGUUCUGCUCUUAGGAAUAACUAAAAAAAAAAACAAUCAAUUUUUAAAAAUGCCAAAAAAACCCCAGACAAACCUAAAACAAAGAUUUCUAUAUGAUGCAUCUUUGGAAAAGCUGGUAAAAAUAUGAGCAGCUUUUAUUUAUUAAAAUUCCUUUCACAUUGCCUUCCCCAAAAUGUUUUAAUUUAUACUACAUAGUUUUUACCUAACCCCUUUAUAGUUGCUUAAGAAAUUUCCUUGUGCUUACCUAGAAUGCUUAAGGCCUUGGGCUUGAUCCCUGGCACUAGGGGGAAAAGUAAAAGAAAGAAAAUAAAUUUCCUUCAAAAUUACCACAAUAUGGGACAUUUAACGGGUAUUUUGACAAUGUAUCACAUAACAAUUUCUCCAAAACUUCCCUUGCAUAACGAUCUCACUGGGAAAUUAUAAAUUUCAUUCACUUUAUUUAAUUUGUAAAGUCUAGUUUUUAGCACACAGAAAAGUCAAAAUUUGUGUUAUUUAUUGGUUAAGAUCGGUGGGAGGUUGGAUGUUCUUGUUCUCUUUAUUUAACAUUAUGUUUCAGAAUAAUAUUUGAUAUAUGGAAAAGUUACAAAGAUUGUACAGAGAAUUCCCAUUACAUUAGUCUGGUGCUUUUGCCACUUCCACAAUUGCCCCUCAUACCAGCUCUUGAUAACCUCUAGUAUAUUUUAAAAUUUCUGUGAAUUUUCUUAUUCUAGGUACCUCAUAUAAUUGGUAUUGUGUUCUCCUUUUGUGUGUAAUUUCUCUUAGCACAGUGUUUGAGGUUCAUCUCUGUUGUAGCAUGUUAGAACUUCAUUCUUUAUGAUGGCUGGAAAAUAUUUCAUUAUAUAUUUUCAUGCCAUUUUGUUUAUCCAUUGGUUUUGUUUAUGUACUAUUGUUUAUAUAUAUGUCACAUAUACAUUAGUAUAGAUGUGUUUAUAUAAAGCAUUUUGUUUUUCUGCUAUUUAUGGCUAGUGCUGCUUUAGAACAUACAUGUAAUGCUUUUCUUUUUCUUUUUCUUUUUUGGUACCACUGAACCGCAUCCCCAGCCUUUUUAUAUUUUAUUUUGAGACGGGUCUUGCUAAGUUGAAUAGUGCCUCACUAAGUUGCUGAGGCUGGCUUUGGACUCCCAGAACUCCUGCCUCAGCCUCCCGAGCUGCUGGGAUUAUAGGCGUGUGCCACUACUUUCGGCUGUAAUGCUUUUCUUAAUUGUUCCCACAUCUUAUUAAGGUAAUUAAUUUGGUGUAAAGUGUAUAUUAGAGAAUUAUUUAACUCUUGGAAUAAAAAUUUGAAAUUGAUGCUGACCUAUUAAGAUACAACUUUGAUCCACUGUAAUUAUGAGGUAGUCAUAUCAGUAUUAGUAUAUGUUAUCCAAAAAUUAACACGAACAUUUUCUUAUUCUGGAUAUGAUAUCUUUGGCAUCAUUGCCUGUUCUUCUUGAUUAAAAUGAAAUAAUCUUAUUGAGUAAAUAGUGGUAUGUAAUUUAAAAAUAUCUUCUUUUAACUGUCUUUAAUAUAGUUAGGUGUGUUCUGUAAAAUUGAUGUCAACUCCCCGAAUCUCUAUUAUUUUCUUUCCUUUUUUUCUUCCUGUUCUCUGUAUUCUCUUGAGGGCCUCUAGUUAAUUUCUGUAGGGAAGAAUAUGUUUAAAUCUAUAUCUGUCUCUCAGGUUUACAUGGAUUCUUUUUCGUUUACCCCAAUAUACUAUGUCUAAAAUAUUAUAAUAGAUAUAGUUACUCAUUUUCAAAAAUUUGAAAAGGAGCAUAUCACAAUUAAUGAAAGCAUUUGUAGAAUCUCAUAUUUGUACUGUAUUUCUUUUUAAUGUGUACAUAUCAUUAAUGUUUUAAGAUGGCUCUUAUGAGAAAAUUUUCCUGUCUUUAGAUAUAUGAGUACAUAAAGAUAUCUUAAUUUGGAUCAUGAUUGAUUUAUUUAGAACAUUUCCAUCCUUUUUAGUCAUUGGGAGAGUUUUUAGUUUGAAUAUAACAGUGCAGUUAGCAUACUCAUUGAAAACAUGUUUGUAUGCAUAUGUCCCUGACAGUUUCUUUUAUUAUAAACUGAAGUUAUUAGAGACUUGGUUUGACUUUUUUUUUUGGUAUUUAUUUAUUUAUUUAUUCGUUCAUUCAUUCAUUCAUUCAGUGUCUUGAAUACCUGAAGAGAGUGAGGAGUAAUUGCCAGGGGUAAUUAGACCGAUAUUAAACAGAUAUUAGUCACAUAUUCACACUUCAUUCCUUCACACUUUCUUCAUUCUUCCUACUGAAACACAUAAGCUUCCUGUGCCCUGCUAUUAUGCACCAUUCUUUGCCUUUUGUUCAGCACUUUUUGUUUACUAGGAUUGGGUUCUGUUCAUUUCUCUUUUAUUGGAUGAUUUUCAUUUUUUUCUCAUUGUGCUGGAGGUUAAACUCAGAGCCUCAUCCUUGGUAGGUAAGCACUUUAUCACUGAACUAUGUGCCUUGCCCUCACUGGAUAAUUUUAAUGAAUUUUAGUGUUUGCAAGAUGAUUCUGCCCUCUUGAUCUGCUUUUCCAGCACUUUGUACCAAAUACAACUGCAUACAUUCCUUCACAUUUAAAUACCUAUUAAUCAUAUCUCAUCUACUUGUUAUGUUAUAGAUAACAGUGUUUUUUUGUAUAGUAUUGUUUUUUAUAUUAUUGUCUUUUGAUAAUGAUAGUGACCAUUACCUGAGUACACUUUAAGUGUUUAACAUGUGUAAUAAUGGUUUUUAUGGAAGUAAAUUCUAAUUUGAUCUCUUAAUUUUUCAGAUCGGGUAAUUGAGGUCAAAUACACUCAGUAACAUUGCUCCCAAAUGUCAGAGUGAAGACUCUCUCUCAUUAUCAAUGAUGCUUAAGUUGGAGGUAAAAGUGAGGUCCUCUUCAAUUUCUUGUGAUGAUUGUGCUUCUAGGAAUAUCAGCAAAGGAGAAACAGAAAAGUUUAUAGCAUAGUAACAUUAUGAUUAACUGCUAGUAGAACACUUGAAUGUAUCGAUUAUCUCCACAUUUGAUUUUCAAACCAGGCAAGUACAUACAGAAGUGACCUUUAUUGGGUGUUUUGUUUUGUUUUAGUACUGGGGGUUGAACCCAGGGAUGUUUUACCAAUGAGCUAAUACCCCAGUUCUUUUCAUUUUUAUUUUGAGACCAGGGCUUGCUAAGUUGCUGAGGCUGACCUUGAACUUAUGAACCUUCUUGCUUAGCCUCUUGGUUAUUAUAGGUGUGUACUACCUUGCCUGUAACAGAAAUAACCUUUAAAACGCCAUUUCUUCCUCAAUGUUGGUUCAUUUUUUAGGAAUAGUCAGACCUGUAAAUAAUUCUAAUUGUGUCUAAUUGAUUCAAUCAUCUCACCAACUCCAAUGUUAACUGUUGUUUUCAUUACAUUUCAAAGAUAGGACAUCAAACAAAUGGAAGUUUAGAACUUGGUCAAGAACGGCUAGCUACUGUAAGCCAUUUUUGAACCCAUGUCUUAUGGAGCAAAAGCACAACCUUUUUCUGUUUUUUUUUUUUUUUCCCCCCUGAGCGGUAUUGGGAUUUGAACCCAUGGCUCAUGCAUGGUAAGCAAGCGCUCGACCACUGAACUGCAUCCCUAGCUCCUCUUUUUGAAAAAAAACUUCAAUAUCAGGUUUUGGUAAGUUGCCCAGGUGACCUCAAACUUAGUCCUAUUGCCUCAGUCUCCUGAAUAACUGGACUGAUAAGUAACCUAAUUCUUAAUUGUUCCAGUUGUUGUAUAGUGUCAUCUUUGGACUUUUCUAGAAUCCCUUGAUGUUGCUGCUGUUUCUUCUCAUGACGAAUGUCUCUUAUAAACACGUUUUUGCAGCUUAACUUCACUCCAUGUAAGAAUCUUUUUAACAUGAGACUUGUUCCAUAGGGUUCCAUUGGCUUUGCAAGUUAGAGGAUUGCUUUUUGAUUCUUUCGUUUGGCUAUUAAGACAGAUUCUUAGAGGAGUUUACCUGCCAUUAAGUCAGCUGUUUUGUCCUAGAUGUUUCUUUCCACAUUCAGUUCCCUUUACCUUCAGGUCUUCAGCCUCCAUUUAACUUCCUAUCUUAUGCACUGAGCAUUGCAGAAUUAUGUCAGAUGAGGAAUCAUUCCAUCAAGUAACCGGGAAUAUUGCUGUGAAGAGGUCUGUCUUUUUGUAAGAGGGGUGAGUUUUAAUUCAUUUAAGCUAUAGAACAAGUCAUAAAUUGUAAUGCAUUGCUUAAUUGUCUUAUUUAUAAAGAAAACCCAUUAAUAAUAUAACUAUUAUUCCAAACCAAACAUUUUAUGUCUAUGUACCUGUUUAUUAUUAUCUACUCUAGGCCUUGUACAUAGUCUCUUCUCC